Molecule: long non-coding RNA, 786 nt
Organism: Mytilus californianus (California mussel)
Lineage: Eukaryota; Metazoa; Mollusca; Bivalvia; Mytilida; Mytilidae
Exons: 3
Source: RefSeq, a predicted model, not a curated record
AUACAUUUACAUGGUGGUGGAGAGGUACUCAAAGGGGAGGAUGUAAGUAUACAUUUACAUGGUGGUGGAGAGGUACUCAAAGGGGAGGAUGUAAGUAUACAUCUACAGGGUGGUGGAGAGGUACUCAAAGGGGAAGAUGUAAGUAUACAUCUACAUGGUGGUGGAGAGGUACUCAAAGGGGGAGAUGUAAGUAUACAUCUACAGGGUAAUACGGUUUUUUGUCUCGCCUGCAACGAAAGUAGCAGUAUGCGAGACAUAGGUAUUACUAUCAGGCGGCGGUGUAAACUUUUUGUAUAAGGCUUUAUAUUUCAGAAGGUAGAAGACUUGGAUGCUUCAAACCUUGUAUGCAGAUACCUUAUGUUACGAAGUUUCCGUCUGUCAUAUGUCCAUUCUCCUUGACCUCAUUUGUAUGGUUCAGCGACUGCUUGAAAAAAAGUUACAGUUUUAUUGUCAUGUCAAUUUCUCACUUAUUAUGUGUAGUAGGAUAACGAUAUUUUGUAUAUGGGUUCCUUGCAACGUCUACAUGUCAGUCAGACAGGGUUCACCUGACCUCAACCUCAUUUCAUGGAUCAGUGAUCAAGGUUAAAGUUACGUGACUAGGUCUGUUUCUCAGAUACUGUAAGCAGUAGGUCAACUAUAUGUGGUGUAUGGAAUGAUUGUAAGGUGUACAUGUCAGUCUGGCAGAUUUCAUUUGACCUUGACCUCAUUUUCAUGGUUCAUUGGUCAAUAUUAAGUUUUUGUGUUUAGUCUGUUUUUCCAGUACUUCAAGCAAUAGGUCAACUAUAU